Ochotona curzoniae (black-lipped pika) is the source of this 881-nucleotide long non-coding RNA. RefSeq lists it as uncharacterized. The record is from RefSeq and is a predicted model, not a curated record. The transcript is spliced from 4 exons. NCBI's taxonomy places the organism in Eukaryota, Metazoa, Chordata, Mammalia, Lagomorpha, Ochotonidae.
ACGGGCUGCGCGACGGCCUUGGUGGAGACUGUGUUCGCGGCAUGGUCAGGUAUUGUGCCCCGGACCUGUCGUCAUCUGCCGCCAUCGAGGGCCCCAGAUGGAGUCCUACGGUUCUGGGCCAAGAGAUGGGAGUUGUGGACAGCGGGCCUGUGUCUGCAGGCCAGAGGGCUGACGGCCGGAGAGACGCGCGGGUGAGUGAGCCCCUCUGCCUGAACCGUCCCUGGCUAGGCGCCCCUUCUGCGGGCUUAUCGGGAUCCGGGGGCCAGCACCGCGGGCAGCAAGCCUCCAGCGUGCUGGGGCCUGUCGUGGCCCCAUGUAUUCCUGCAGUGCUUGCCAGAGCAAUUCGGAACGGUUUGAGGCCUCGCUCUGCUCCAUCCAGAGCGAGGUUAUAGAACUUUCGGACAGUCGCCUGCCCUGCUCCCUUGCUGGGUGUGCUGUCGGAUGUGGCACACAGUUAAAACCAAGUUCUCAUUCACAGCGGCCACGUGUCGGGGUCUGGGUGGCCACGCCUUGGACGAUAGCUGUGUGCAAGGGUCCAGAAAGCCACAGGUUCCUUUGUUGGCUGUGAGCGGCGUCUCUGACAUCCACGUGGAUCUGCUGUAGGUCACCACCCCAGCACAUGGCACGAAACUCUGUGCCAUUCCUGAGGGUCCAGCUCCAUGGAGCCUGCGCACGGCCUCCAGGGUGCGUGCGGCCACACAGUCCAGAGCGCAGAUGCCGAGGCCAAGACCUCCUCGUGGCAACACACCUGGCAUGGUGUUUAUCCAAGGCGUUGUCACACCCAAAGGUGAUGCCAUGUCCAGGUCCUCGUGUAGGUGAAAGAACAAGAAGAUUUCAUGUUUAAUAAAAGUGGUGUUGAAAGUCGGUUCAGUCUGACCUGU